GCCUCGGUGGUGGAAUUGGUAGACACCAGGGACUUAAAAUCCCUUGGACCUUGCGUCCGUGCGAGUUCGAGUCUCGCCCGAGGCACCA
Molecule: transfer RNA, 88 nt
Filed under: Desulfobulbaceae bacterium
Lineage: Bacteria; Pseudomonadati; Thermodesulfobacteriota; Desulfobulbia; Desulfobulbales; Desulfobulbaceae
Description: tRNA-Leu
Rfam family: tRNA
About the family: Transfer RNA (tRNA) molecules are approximately 80 nucleotides in length. Their secondary structure includes four short double-helical elements and three loops (D, anti-codon, and T loops).
Source: RNAcentral